This 141-nucleotide ribosomal RNA is filed under the name Pteropus alecto (black flying fox). Lineage: Eukaryota; Metazoa; Chordata; Mammalia; Chiroptera; Pteropodidae. The record is from RNAcentral.
GUCUACAGCUAUGCCACCCUGAACAAGCCGGAUCCCGUCUGAUCUCAUCUGAUCUUAUCUGAUCUCGGAAGCUAAGCAGGGUGGGGCCUGGUGUUAGUACUUGGAUGGGAGACCAUCUAGGAAGUCCAGGUGCUGUAGGUG